This 434-nucleotide ribosomal RNA is filed under the name uncultured soil bacterium. Its description in RNAcentral is "bacterial SSU rRNA". It matches the Rfam family "Bacterial small subunit ribosomal RNA", at positions 26 to 448 of the family's 1533-position model. The record is from RNAcentral.
AGGAUUAACGCUGGCGGCGUGCAUGAGACAUGCAAGUCGAACGGACACUCGGAGCUUGCUCUGAGUGUUAGUGGCGGACGGCUGAGUAACGCGUAGGUGACCUGCCCCGAAGUGGGGAAUAACUGCCCGAAAGGGUGGCUAAUACCGCAUGUGGUGAUGUGUUCAUUCGCAUCAGUAAAGCCGCAAGGCGCUUCGGGAGGGGCCUGCGUCCGAUUAGCUCGUUGGUGAGGUAACGGCUCACCAAGGCGACGAUCGGUAGGUGGUCGUGAGAGGACGGAUCACCCAGACUGGGACUGAGACACGGCCCAGACUACCUACGGGAGGCAGCCAGGUCGGGAAUUUUGCGCAGUGGGUCGAAAGCCUGACGCAGCAACGCCGCGCGAGGGACGUGGACGGCCGUUCGGGUUACGUAACCGUUCGUUCGUAGUCGUAGG